Non-coding RNA from Pleurotus ostreatus (oyster mushroom), 98 nucleotides. Lineage: Eukaryota; Fungi; Basidiomycota; Agaricomycetes; Agaricales; Pleurotaceae. The record is from the annotation of a RefSeq genome assembly.
GGCCUGAUGGUCUAGUAGUAUGAUUCCUUGUUAGGGCGUUGUUGCGAAAGCGACUUGCAAUAUCGAGGAGGUCCCGGGUUCAAUUCCCGGUCAGGCCC